This 467-nucleotide ribosomal RNA is filed under the name uncultured bacterium. Its description in RNAcentral is "partial 16S ribosomal RNA". It matches the Rfam family "Bacterial small subunit ribosomal RNA", at positions 28 to 507 of the family's 1533-position model. The record is from RNAcentral.
GACGAACGCUGGCGGCGUGCUUAACACAUGCAAGUCGAACGGAAAGGCUCCAGCUUGCUGGAGUACUCGAGUGGCGAACGGGUGAGUAACACGUGGGUAAUCUGCCCUGCACUCUGGGAUAAGCCUGGGAAACUGGGUCUAAUACUGGAUAUGACCUUUCUCCUUAUGGGGUUUGGUGGAAAGUUUUGCGGUGUAGGAUGAGCCCGCGGGCUAUCAGCUUGUUGGUGGGGUGAUGGCCUACCAAGGCGACGACGGGUAGCCGGCCUGAGAGGGUGAGCGGCCACAUUGGGACUGAGAUACGGCCCAGACUGCUACGGGAGGCAGCAGUGGGGAAUAUUGCACAAUGGGCGGAAGCCUGAUGCAGCGACGCCGCGUGAGGGAUGACGGCCUUCGGGUUGUAAACCUCUUUCAGCAGGGACGAAGCGUAAGUGACGGUACCUGCAGAAGAAGCACCGGCUAACUAUGUG